CUUGUAGUACAAUUUCAUAAAGAUCCAUACACUUACACACAAGUGAUUGUCCUGAAACUAGAAUAAAAUGCUCCGCAGGGCGCAGCUUGAUACGACCGCAGAGGUCGAACCCUGAACAGUUGGGGGAAGUAUGGACACAACAUUCAAGCUUGAUACAGCUUUGGAUUUGGAUUGUGAUUAAAUAUUUGAUACAGCAUAGGUUUCUGACAGAAUGAAUGUGGUCUAAGAACUUAAAAAAUUUUAAUUUACCUAUUCAAACCAUAUCAUUAUUAUUUGCUUUUAGAUAUAUAUAAAUCAGAAAUAACCAAUUUAAAAUGGAAAAUUUUAAAGAAAAAAAAAAGGAAAAAAAUGAAAAAAAUAUCCCUCCCCCAAAUUUUUUGAACCCCCUUAUGAUUCAUCACCCCCAAAAUUCAAUCCCAGCCUUCCCUUUGUGGUAUGGUACCUGGCAGUACAAUUUCAGAGAGAUCCAUACACUUGAACACAAGUUAUUGUCUGGAAACUAGAAAAAUGUUUGUUUUUAGGCCCCUUUUUGGCCCCAAAUUCGUAAACGUUUAGGGCAAUUAUCCCCAAACUCAAACCAAGCUUUCCCUUUGUGAUAUGGAACCUUGUAGUACAAUUUCAGAGAGAUCCAUACACUUACACACAAGUUAUUGUCCUGAAACUAGAACGGUUGUAUAUAUAUGCUUGUUUUUUGCCCCUUUUUGGCCCCUAAUUCCUAAAAUUUUGAGGCAAUUACCCCCAAAAUCAAUCCCAGCCUUCCCUUUGACGCAUGGUACCUUGCAGUACAAUUUCAGAGAGAUCCAUACAAUUGAACAAAAGUUAUUAUCUGGAAACUAGAAAAAUGCUUAUUUUUGGCCCCUUAUUCCUAAACUUUUUGGGCAAAUAAACCCAAACUCAAUUCCAGCUUUCCCUUUGUGAUAUGGAACCUUGUAGUACAAUUUCAGAAAGAUCCAUACACUUACACACAAGUUAUUGUCAUAAAACUAGAAAAAUGCUUGUUUUUUGCCCCUUUUUGGCCCCUAAUUCCUAAAAUUUUGAGGCAAUUACCCCCAUAAUCAAUCCCAGCAUUCCCUUUGUGAUAUGGAACCUUGUGGUACAAUGUCAGAGAGAUCCAUACACUAACACACAAGUUAUGUCUGGAAGUUACAAAAAUGCUUAUUUUUGGCCCCUUAUUCCUUAACUGUUGGUACCAUAACCCCCAAAAUCAAUCCAAACCUUCCUUUUGUGGUAUUGAACCUUAUGGUAAAAUUUCAUAGAGAUCAAUUCACUUAAACUAAAGUUAGAGUGCGAAAACUAAUGUGUCUUCGGAUGACGACAGCAAUGAUGACGCCAACGUCAUACCAAUAUACGACCGCAAAAUUUGUUUGCGGUCGUAUAAAAAUAGAUU
Mytilus californianus (California mussel) is the source of this 1387-nucleotide long non-coding RNA. RefSeq lists it as uncharacterized. The transcript has 2 exons. NCBI's taxonomy places the organism in Eukaryota, Metazoa, Mollusca, Bivalvia, Mytilida, Mytilidae. The record is from RefSeq and is a predicted model, not a curated record.